GACGAACGCUGGCGGCGUGCUUAACACAUGCAAGUCGAACGGUGAAGCGCCUUCCUUUUUGGUGGGUGUGGAUGAGUGGCGAACUGGUGAGUAACACGUGAGUAACCUGCCCCCUUCUUCUGGAUAACCGCAUGAAAGUGUGGCUAAUACGGGAUAUUCUGGGUCUGUCGCAUGAUGGGUCUGGGAAAGAUAUUGUUUCGGUGGGGGAUGGGCUCGCGGCCUAUCAGCUUGUUGGUGGGGUGAUGGCCUACCAAGGCGGUGACGGGUAGCCGGCCUGAGAGGGUGGACGGUCACACUGGGAAUGAGACACGGACCAGACUCCUACGGGAGGCAGCAGUGGGGAAUAUUGCACAAUGGGCGCAAGCCUGAUGCAGCGACGCCGCGGGAGGGAUGGAGGCCUGCGGGUUGUGAACCUCUUUCGCCAGUGAAGCAGGCCUGCCUCGUUUGUGGGUGGGUUGACGGUAGCUGGAUAAGAAGCGCCGGCUAACUACGUG
Molecule: ribosomal RNA, 494 nt
Filed under: uncultured bacterium
Lineage: Bacteria
Description: partial 16S ribosomal RNA
Rfam family: Bacterial small subunit ribosomal RNA
Source: RNAcentral